UAAUACGUAGGCAGCAAGCGUUGUUCGGAGUUACUGGGCGUAAAGGGUGCGUAGGCGGCCGCAAAAGUAUGGUGUGAAAUCUCCCGGCUUAACUGGGAGGGUGCGCUAUAAACUGCGCGGCUAGAGUGUGGGAGAGGAAAGUGGAAUUCCUGGUGUAGCGGUGAAAUGCGUAGAUAUCAGGAGGAACACCGGUGGUGUAAACGGCUUUCUGGACCAUAACUGACGCUGAGGCACGAAAGCGUGGGUAGCAAACAGGAUUAGAUACCCUGGUAGUCCACGCCCUAAACGAUGCAUAUUUGGUGUGGGCCAUUCAUUUGGUCCGUGCCGGAGCUAACGCGUUAAAUAUGCCGCCUGGGGAGUACAGUCGCAAGGCUG
This 375-nucleotide ribosomal RNA is filed under the name uncultured bacterium. Its description in RNAcentral is "bacterial SSU rRNA". It matches the Rfam family "Bacterial small subunit ribosomal RNA", at positions 521 to 896 of the family's 1533-position model. The record is from RNAcentral.